This 230-nucleotide long non-coding RNA is filed under the name Ananas comosus (pineapple). Its description in RNAcentral is "long non-coding RNA (ACOM_LNC044395)". The record is from RNAcentral. Lineage: Eukaryota; Viridiplantae; Streptophyta; Magnoliopsida; Poales; Bromeliaceae.
CACGCCCCAAACCUGAGGCAUAACAGACGGCGCAUAUCUACUAAAUAAGAUUUUCAUACAAUCGAAAUAUUUUUCUAAUUUAUCUUACGAAAAACUAACGGGUGCCCGGUCGCUUACCUUAACGCAGCUUCAAAGAUAGAAAAUUAUCCAGUCGAAACUCUGUAAAAAAUCAAUUAUCGGAACCUAAAAUAGAGACAUGCGAUUCUCUAUAAGCUAACUAAAAUGAACAU